RNAcentral lists this non-coding RNA (1510 nucleotides) under Perkinsela sp. CCAP 1560/4. Its description in RNAcentral is "Eukaryotic large subunit ribosomal RNA". It matches the Rfam family "Eukaryotic large subunit ribosomal RNA", at positions 1930 to 3401 of the family's 3401-position model. Lineage: Eukaryota; Euglenozoa; Kinetoplastea; Prokinetoplastida; Perkinselidae. The record is from Rfam by way of RNAcentral.
CUAUCUUGAAUGACUAACAUCUUCAUCGGCCGACGCGGGCCGCGGACCAAAGGCGCCGGCCGACCGGGCCAGCGUGUUUCCUCGGACGCACGCUGGCCAGGGGAGCCGCCCGCCUCCGCUGCCCUCGCCCCCGGGCGCAGUCGGGCUCACCGCGCCGGCACUGAAUUGCCAGUUCAGAACUGCUUACCCAGGGGAAUCCAACUGUAUAAUUAAAACACAGGCUUGCGACGCAGAUAAGUUCUGUUUGACGCAAGCUGAUUUCUGCCCAGUGCUCUGAAUGUCAAUGUGACGAGAUUCACCUACGCGCGGGUAAACGGCGGGAGUAACUAUGACUCUCUUAAGGUAGCCAAAUGCCUCGUCUUCUAAUUAGAGACGCGCAUGAAUGGAUUAAUGAGAUUCCCACUGUCCCUAGCUACCAUCUAGCGAACCAACUGCGUCAAGGGAACGGUCUUGAAUGAUUAAGCGGGGAAAGAAGACCCUGUUGAGUUUGACUCCAGUCUCAGUUUGUCGGGCGGCAUAGGAGGUGUAGUCAUAGGUGGGAGGUGCAAACCGGUUCUGAAAAACCACUUCUUCUAUCGUUACUCUGCAAAUUCAAUGGUAAAGCACAGGGGGUUAUGCCGGCUUCGGCCGGCAUUCGCGUCGCGGCUCCCCCGGGAGCCGCGGCCAACUUCCCUCUUACAGAACUAACCGCGCCCCCUGGGGGGCGCGCCAGCUUCAGUUUGGAAACCAGACUGAGAUGGGGAGUUUGGCUGGGGCGGCAUAUCUGCUAAACAACAACGCAGGUGUCCUAAGGCGAGCUCAGUGAGGACAGAAACCUCACGUAGAGCACAAGGGCAAAAGCUCGCUUGAUCUUCGACUUUCAGUACUAGUCGAGAAAGUGAAAGCUUGGCCAGCGAUCCUUUGAGCACGUACAUUCAGGUAUAAUGCCAGAGGUGUCAUAAAAAUUACCACAGGGAUAACUGGCUUGUGGCAGCCAAGCGUUCCUAGCGACGUUGCCGUUUGAUCCUUCGAUGUCGGCUCUUCCUAGCCUUGCGCCGCAGCAGACGCAAAGGGUCGGAUUGUUCACCCGGAUGAGGGAACGUGAGCUGGGUUUAGACCGUCGUGAGACAGGUUGGUUUUACCCUACUUAAUCGUACAUAUCAACUCGGCGCUCCGAGGGUAAUGCGAAGUAGUACGAGAGGAACUUUCGUUUCGCCUCACUAGCAACCGCGGUCCUCCGAAGCGAGGCGCCGCAACGCCACCAGGCGAUGAUUCACAGCUGAACGCCUCUUAAGCUGGAAAUCAACCCCGACGAGCGCCUUGGCCGCACGGCCAACCGGUGCCGAAGUGUAUGCCCGCGACGGUAUGGUCCUCGGACCGCCAUCGGGCAGCUCUAUCGAGCCAUCGUAACGUACGAGUAGGUACCACGGAACACCUGGAACAUACGAUUCCAGAUGCACAGCCAGGUAUACGUGCUGGAGGAAUCUAGGUUCCGACUCACUGAGCCUGUGUGAUGUGCCAAUAGGUGCGA